CUAAAACCAGGGCGGGGGCCAAUAAUGCAAGUCGAACGCGUUGGCCCAAUUGAUUGAUGGUGCUUGCACCUGAUUGAUUUUGGUCGCCAACGAGUGGCGGACGGGUGAGUAACACGUAGGUAACCUGCCCAGAAGCGGGGGACAACAUUUGGAAACAGAUGCUAAUACCGCAUAACAACGUUGUUCGCAUGAACAACGCUUAAAAGAUGGCUUCUCGCUAUCACUUCUGGAUGGACCUGCGGUGCAUUAGCUUGUUGGUGGGGUAACGGCCUACCAAGGCGAUGAUGCAUAGCCGAGUUGAGAGACUGAUCGGCCACAAUGGGACUGAGACACGGCCCAUACUCCUACGGGAGGCAGCAGUAGGGAAUCUUCCACAAUGGGCGCAAGCCUGAUGGAGCAA
This 400-nucleotide ribosomal RNA is filed under the name Limosilactobacillus fermentum. RNAcentral's name for it is "bacterial SSU rRNA". It matches the Rfam family "Bacterial small subunit ribosomal RNA", at positions 38 to 394 of the family's 1533-position model. The record is from RNAcentral. Lineage: Bacteria; Bacillati; Bacillota; Bacilli; Lactobacillales; Lactobacillaceae.